Molecule: ribosomal RNA, 416 nt
Filed under: uncultured eukaryote
Lineage: Eukaryota
Description: bacterial SSU rRNA
Rfam family: Eukaryotic small subunit ribosomal RNA
Source: RNAcentral
CUCGAGACGGCGGGGUAGAGGCCCGCCGCGGUAACGACGGGUAACGGGGGAAUCAGGGUUCGAUUCCGGAGAGGGAGCCCGAGAAACGGCUACCACUUCCAAGGAAGGCAGCAGGCGCGCAACUUACCCUAAUCUCGAUUCGAGGAGGUAGUGACAAGAAAUACCGAUGCGGGACCCUACGGGUGCCGCGUUCGGAAUGAGUACGAUUCGAACCACCUAACGAGGAACGAUCGGAGGGCAAGUCUGGUGCCAGCAGCCGCGGUAAUUCCAGCUCCAAUAGCGUACGUUAAAGUUGCUGCAGUUAAAAAGCUCGUAGUUGAACGUUCGGGUUCCGCGGGACGGGGCGCCCCGCGAGGGACGGCGCCGCCCCGGGGCUCGUGAUAUCUCAUCUCGCCGCCCGUCGCGAGGCGGACGGA